UACGGAGGAUCCGAGCGUUAUCCGGAUUUAUUGGGUUUAAAGGGAGCGUAGGUGGAUUGUUAAGUCAGUUGUGAAAGUUUGCGGCUCAACCGUAAAAUUGCAGUUGAAACUGGCAGUCUUGAGUACAGUAGAGGUGGGCGGAAUUCGUGGUGUAGCGGUGAAAUGCGUAGAUAUCAGGAGGAAUACCGUUAGCGAAGGCGGCAAUCUGGCUGGAAACUGACGCUGAGGUGCGAAAGCGUGGGUAGCAAACAGG
Molecule: ribosomal RNA, 253 nt
Filed under: uncultured Bacteroides sp.
Lineage: Bacteria; Pseudomonadati; Bacteroidota; Bacteroidia; Bacteroidales; Bacteroidaceae
Description: partial 16S ribosomal RNA
Rfam family: Bacterial small subunit ribosomal RNA
Source: RNAcentral